AUGCCGCCGGCCAUCGACGUUGCACGCGAGCACAGGAUACCGUUCGCCGUCUUCUGGGUCCAGCCGGCGACAACUCUCGCCACAUACUACCACUACUUCCACGGCCACGCGGAGAUGAUCAACUCCCGUGCCGCCGACACGGCAUGCGUGGUUAGCCUACCAGGUCUGCACCCUCUUAGCAUCCGCGAGAUGCCAUCUUUAAUCAUUGACAAGGACGAGGCCUCCAAGAUGUAUCUCCGAGGGUUCGGUGAACUAUUCGAGCAGAUCGAGCAGGACAAGGCCAUGGUCCUGGUGAACACGUGCGACGCCCUAGAGCUAGAGGCGACGUCGCUAAAGGCAUUACAGUCACACCUGGAUGUCAUCGCCGUGGGCCCGACGGUUCCUCCUGCCGGUGCCGGAGAAGAAGCGAUCCAUCUGUUCCGGCGAGACGAGAAGAAGUACAUGGAAUGGCUGGACUCGCAGCCGGCCAAGUCGGUGGUGUACGUCUCCUUUGGGAGCUUGGGGACGUACAGCCAGCGGCAGGCGGAGGAGAUCCUGCGUGGCCUGCGGUGCUGCGCGCGGGCCUACCUUUGGGUGGUGCGCCGUGAAGGGCGCAUGGAGGAGGUGGAGCGCCUCAUCAUGGGGACGGGCGCCGAGGACGACGAGAGCACGGGGAUGGUGGUGGAGUGGUGCGAUCAGCUGCGGGUGCUGGCGCAUCCCUCGGUGGCGUGCUUCGUCACGCACUGCGGGUGGAACUCGACGCUGGAGGCCGUGGCGUCCGGUGUGCCACCCGUCGCGGUGCCGGGCUGGUCGGACCAGUCGUUGAACGCGCAUCUGGUGGAGGAGUGGGGCGUCGGCGUCCGGGCGGAGCGCGACGCGGAGGGACUGCUGCCCGGCGUGGAGCUGGCGAGGUGCGUGGAGCUGGUGAUGGGUGACGGCGGGACGGCCGCCAAGGUCAAGACCAAUGCCGCUGCUUACCAGGAGAAGGCGCGACAGGCGAUGGCCGCGGACGGCCCGUCGGAGAGGAACCUUGGGAGCUUCGUCAACAGGGUGCGACAUCUAGUUGCUGCCGUGGAGAAAAACCAUGCAUGA
RNAcentral lists this ribosomal RNA (1071 nucleotides) under Triticum aestivum (bread wheat). Its description in RNAcentral is "partial small subunit ribosomal RNA". Lineage: Eukaryota; Viridiplantae; Streptophyta; Magnoliopsida; Poales; Poaceae. The record is from RNAcentral.